UACGGAGGGUGCAAGCGUUAAUCGGAAUUACUGGGCGUAAAGCGCGCGUAGGCGGCUCGAUCAGUCGGGGGGGAAAUCCCUGGGCUCAACCUGGGAACUGCAUUCGAUACUGUCGAGCUAGAGUGUGGGAGAGGGUAGUGGAAUUCCCGGUGUAGCGGUGAAAUGCGUAGAUAUCGGGAGGAACAUCAGUGGCGAAGGCGACUGCCUGGCCCAACACUGACGCUGAGGUGCGAAAGCGUGGGUAGCAAACAGG
Molecule: ribosomal RNA, 253 nt
Filed under: uncultured bacterium
Lineage: Bacteria
Description: partial 16S ribosomal RNA
Rfam family: Bacterial small subunit ribosomal RNA
Source: RNAcentral